ACUAACUGCAAACGUCCAUCGCUUAUUGUUUUGGCAACUCCUUUUACGCCCGCGAGGAAGUCAUGAAUUCAGGAAGUAAGCAGGCAAGUCCCAUUUGUGCAUGAAACCUUACCUAGAGGAAGAAAGUCAGCCAGUGCCCUCGCUAACCCCUCGGGCAAGAAAGGAAGGGCACUCCAAGGGCACGAAACCGAGAUGAAACAACGCAUUCCACAGGGGCAGAGGCGCUUCUCACAGGGCGAGGAAGAAGCCUGGCAUUUCAUGAAUGAAUAAGCUGUAACGAAGCAUUUCUGUGUCCUUAAAUACAAUUUCAAACAGCUGAGUGUACACAGAACUGCAGGGAACGUCAAACGACCACUUCAAUGACAGCAACUCAGCCAAACUCCCGUCUUCCAGUGAGACCGUAAAAUACAAGGCGGCUAAAAAUUCCCACCUCAACUGAAACAUCUUCACUAAGAUUUUCUAAAAGUCACAGCAGAUCUUUGAACCAGCAUAGAUGGCCUGGGACUGCUUUAGUGUUUCUGAUCACACUCCUUGGGUAAAGACUGUGCAGUCGGUAUUUUUUGAUGCUACUUAACUUUUCCUCUGACUGUAUCUCAAAGGUUCCUUUAACUCCUCGAAGCACUUAGCCACUGGUUAUUUUCAACCUGCAUAACGCUUUCUGUAUGUGAUAUUCUACAAUUAAAACGUAACUCUGAUUUCUAUAACACCAACAUACACUUGGUUACUGUAAAAGACAGUUAAGACAUCUGUAAGAGACUGAGGUGAGCACUGUUCUCUCUACUAAAAAAGGGAAUCCUGGCAGGUCCUGAGCUUUAUUCUAUUUGGGAGGCUGCCCAUAACGUUAUGCAUUUGUGGACGAGUCCGUCCGUCUCUAAGCGGCCAGCAAGCUGUAAGCACACCGGUUGUGAGAAUCUGCCAUAAAGAAAUACACCUUCCCUCUGUGAAACUCUCUACACCAAAGCAAAUUGAUCAACCUCAGAUUCCUACUCCACAUUCUUUGAUUCUGACUCACUUAUGACAGUCCUGGAAGCUGGAACUCGAAUAUCUAUGGGCAGUAAGCAAAUAAAGGCCUGAAAAGCUGUAACCAACCAACUGUUCCAUUGAAACAGACAACUACUGUGUGGCUUAGAAAAAUAACGGAUUUCUGCUUCCAGAUGAUUAAAGAGGCAUCCAUUUGGUACUGUGGCCUUUAGAAUGAGUCCCCAUGGUGCAGGAAGGCAGAAAGCUUGUGCACCGUAAUUAUUUGUGAAUUUUCAUCCCCCUACCCCCAAAUUGUGAAGAAAACAUGCAGGGAUUUUUUUUCCCCUGCAUUCUUCCUCCACAUUCACCAUUUUAUUGGUAAUCACAGACUCUACACUGCAGUUUUCAUGAGCUACCAGAAUUAUGUAAGUACACAACAUGAAACUAAUGAGGAAUAAAAUAUCUGUCAAUA
Molecule: non-coding RNA, 1432 nt
Organism: Callithrix jacchus (white-tufted-ear marmoset)
Lineage: Eukaryota; Metazoa; Chordata; Mammalia; Primates; Cebidae
Source: RefSeq, a predicted model, not a curated record